GCCGUAAACGAUGAGUGCUAAGUGUUAGGGGGUUUCCGCCCCUUAGUGCUGCAGCUAACGCAUUAAGCACUCCGCCUGGGGAGUACGGCCGCAAGGCUGAAACUCAAAGGAAUUGACGGGGGCCCGCACAAGCGGUGGAGCAUGUGGUUUAAUUCGAAGCAACGCGAAGAACCUUACCAGGUCUUGACAUCCCGCUGCCCGCCUUGGAGACAAGGCUUUCCCUUCGGGGACAGCGGUGACAGGUGGUGCAUGGUUGUCGUCAGCUCGUGUCGUGAGAUGUUGGGUUAAGUCCCGCAACGAGCGCAACCCUUGAUCUUAGUUGCCAGCAUUCAGUUGGGCACUCUAAGGUGACUGCCGGUGACAAACCGGAGGAAGGUGGGGAUGACGUCAAAUCAUCAUGCCCCUUAUGACCUGGGCUACACACGUGCUACAAUGGACGGUACAAAGGGCAGCCAACCCGCGAGGGGGAGCCAAUCCCAGAAAACCGUUCUCAGUUCGGAUUGCAGGCUGCAACUCGCCUGCAUGAAGCCGGAAUCGCUAGUAAUCGUGGAUCAGCAUGCCACGGUGAAUACGUUCCCGGGCCUUGUACACACCGCCCG
RNAcentral lists this ribosomal RNA (599 nucleotides) under Planomicrobium soli. RNAcentral's name for it is "bacterial SSU rRNA". It matches the Rfam family "Bacterial small subunit ribosomal RNA", at positions 799 to 1396 of the family's 1533-position model. The record is from RNAcentral. Lineage: Bacteria; Bacillati; Bacillota; Bacilli; Caryophanales; Caryophanaceae.